AACGAACGCUGGCGGCAGGCCUAACACAUGCAAGUCGAACGUGAAGCCACCUUCGGGUGGUGGAAAGUGGCAGACGGGUGAGUAACGCGUGGGAACGUGCCUUUCGGUUCGGAAUAACCCAGGGAAACUUGGGCUAAUACCGGAUACGCCCUUCGGGGGAAAGAUUCAUCGCCGAAAGAUCGGCCCGCGUCGGAUUAGCUAGUUGGUAGGGUAAUGGCCUACCAAGGCGACGAUCCGUAGCUGGUCUGAGAGGAUGACCAGCCACACUGGGACUGGGACACGGCCCAGACUCCUACGGGAGGCAGCAGUGGGCAAUAUUGGACAAUGGGCGAAAGCCUGAUCCAGCCAUGCCGCGUGGGUGAAGAAGGCCCUAGGGUUGUAAACCCCUUUCAGCGGGGAAGAUAAUGACGGUACCCGCAGAAGAAGCCCCGGCUAACUCCGUGCCAGCAGCCGCCGUAA
Molecule: ribosomal RNA, 459 nt
Filed under: uncultured bacterium
Lineage: Bacteria
Description: partial 16S ribosomal RNA
Rfam family: Bacterial small subunit ribosomal RNA
Source: RNAcentral